RNAcentral lists this long non-coding RNA (1686 nucleotides) under Equus caballus (horse). RNAcentral's name for it is "lncRNA (ENSECAG00000045341.1)". The record is from RNAcentral. Lineage: Eukaryota; Metazoa; Chordata; Mammalia; Perissodactyla; Equidae.
AACCACAAAAAAACCCACAAAACAAUAGAAAUCAAUUCUCUCGCAGUUCUGGAGGCCAGAAGUCUGAGCUCAAGCUGCCCACAGGGCCGGGUUCCCUCCUAAGGCUCCUGGGGAGGACCCUUCCUGCCUCUUGGUGCUUCUGGAGGCUCCAGGCGUUCCUUGGCUUGAGGCCGCCUCACUCCCGUCGCUGCCUCUGUCUUCACACGGCCUUCCUCCCUGUGUGUCUCCUCUUCUUACAAGGACAGUGGCCGUUGGACUUAGGGCCCACCCUCAAUCCAGGAUGAUUUCGUCCAGAGGUCCUUCACCAGGAACAUCUGCAAAGCCCCUACUUCCAAACAAGGUCACAUUCAGAGGUUCUGCCUGGACGUGAAUUUUGGGGACAUGCUAUUCAACCCAUUGCCUGUGGCUGCAGUGCAUGAACAGGUGUCUGUGUGGCGUGUCAGUUGUAUUAAAAUGCAGAUCCUGGGGCCCCCUCGGUGCCACUGACUCGGAAUCUUGGGCGUGGCUUCCUGGAUUUCACUCACCAGGCACCCAGGUGAAGGUGAGGCCCUGCCGUCCGUCUUCCUGGGCCUGCCCUGUCCCCUGGGGAUUUACCCAAGUCCCAGGCCCCAGGACAGCCACCGUGCUGAUGAGAGGAGGGGGCGGGGGCCUGUCCCGUGAGCUCCCUCGGGACACACAUCAUGGGCUUCUGAAGAGGCUCCUUUGUUUUGGAGCUGGAGGCCAAGGAGGGGGAGCAGAGAGGGUGCGGAUCUUUGGUGUGACGGUGGCAGGGCCCCUGUCUACACCGGCUUCUGCUUCCCAGCCCUGCCCAAGACGUCUCACCGAGGGAGAGGAAGCAGCCCUCGCCUGCUCUGGCAUGGCCACUCGCUCCCUGCGACUCCCCCGUGGAUUUCUCUGGAACUGUGGCUGAGGGCUCUCAGGGGAACAGCCAGGAUCGCUUCUCCGGAAGCCCCCUGGGGUUUGGGCCCGGAGAGGGCAGAACACACUGGGGCUCCCUGUGGCCCAGAGGCCGCCCCUGGGACCAGUUCUUUCUCCUCCGAAGCCGGGUCUGGAGGCCCUGCAGAGGCGGCCGUCGGGCACCAGAGGCUGCCGUGGGAGUUUGGACAAGGCCUGGAAGGAACCGGAAAGAGCCAGAAGGAAAGGCACCAGGUAGCUCUCAGGGCCGUCAGAGGCGGCUGUGGCUUUCAAACUUCUCCCCGGCCUGUUUUCCCCUCCCUGCCCUUCAGUGCCCCCUCAAGGCAUUUCUGAGGAACACAGGUCCCCAGAAAGCACGAUCUGAAACCUCGGACUCCAGGGUUUUCUGGAGCCAAAAUUUUUCUGUGACACGAACCCUUUUGAGAAUCUGAUGAAAGCUGUGGACGUCACGCUUGAAUUCUGUUUCCACUUCCCGGCUCCUACGAGCCCUUGAAAAAACGCAGCCAUUGACCCCCGGGUGGGAAGCUUUCUCUGGAGUCUGUCCCGAUGCUACAGUUUUGUAAAGAGCAUCCCCACAGCGGAGACAUGUCACCAUGGCAACUGCCCAGCACACACUCGGGGUUCCAAGUCAGUCCCCCGGGACUUCUGGUCCACAAUGUGUGCCCAGGGGUCUUCCAUCACCACCAUGAGGAGGGGAGGGCAUCCUCACUUGGCCAUAACUAGUCCAUGUUAAUCCUUGACCAACAAUCCCGAAGCUUGAUGCUUGACGAC